This 848-nucleotide ribosomal RNA is filed under the name soil bacterium Thia-S1R-M1LLLSSL-1. RNAcentral's name for it is "bacterial SSU rRNA". It matches the Rfam family "Bacterial small subunit ribosomal RNA", at positions 77 to 918 of the family's 1533-position model. The record is from RNAcentral.
AGCUUGCUGCUCUUGAGAGCGGCGGACGGGUGAGUAAUGCCUAGGAAUCUGCCUGGUAGUGGGGGAUAACGUCCGGAAACGGACGCUAAUACCGCAUACGUCCUACGGGAGAAAGCAGGGGACCUUCGGGCCUUGCGCUAUCAGAUGAGCCUAGGUCGGAUUAGCUAGUUGGUGGGGUAAUGGCUCACCAAGGCGACGAUCCGUAACUGGUCUGAGAGGAUGAUCAGUCACACUGGAACUGAGACACGGUCCAGACUCCUACGGGAGGCAGCAGUGGGGAAUAUUGGACAAUGGGCGAAAGCCUGAUCCAGCCAUGCCGCGUGUGUGAAGAAGGUCUUCGGAUUGUAAAGCACUUUAAGUUGGGAGGAAGGGCAGUAAAUUAAUACUUUGCUGUUUUGACGUUACCGACAGAAUAAGCACCGGCUAACUCUGUGCCAGCAGCCGCGGUAAUACAGAGGGUGCAAGCGUUAAUCGGAAUUACUGGGCGUAAAGCGCGCGUAGGUGGUUCGUUAAGUUGGAUGUGAAAUCCCCGGGCUCAACCUGGGAACUGCAUUCAAAACUGACGAGCUAGAGUAUGGUAGAGGGUGGUGGAAUUUCCUGUGUAGCGGUGAAAUGCGUAGAUAUAGGAAGGAACACCAGUGGCGAAGGCGACCACCUGGACUGAUACUGACACUGAGGUGCGAAAGCGUGGGGAGCAAACAGGAUUAGAUACCCUGGUAGUCCACGCCGUAAACGAUGUCAACUAGCCGUUGGGAGCCUUGAGCUCUUAGUGGCGCAGCUAACGCAUUAAGUUGACCGCCCUGGGGAGUACGGGCCGCAAGGUUAAAACUCAAAUGAAAUUGACGGGG